CUGGCCUAGACAAUUUUCUUCGAUCUCUUUAAUCAAAUUAACUAGGCUGAGAAUGACUGAGAUAAGUUGCGAUUUUAUUGAAAAUAUGUUGUUAUUGAUAAAAGAAAAGAGAGGAAAAAACAUUUGCAAGGGUGCGGGAUAAGUUGCGGAUUAACCCAAAACUCAUUAUAAAUUUGAGAAGAAAGAGUGAAAAAUUGAUAAGAUAAAAUUGUCGCGAGUUUACGAGAGACGAACGAAUGUCUUUUAAUGCUAGAUAAGUUUUAGGCACGUUUAAUAUAUUUGUCUUAAUUAAGAAUGCGGUGUACGCAUCUUUUUGAGACAUUAAAAAAUAAUUCGAGGAUGCAAUAAUGCACCUCGACAAAGAUCGUCCUAAAAAUUAGUUAACUUUCACUAGUUUAAUGCAAGAGGUAUAGACAAUAGACAUUGAAGAUGAGCGAUUUAAGGUCAGCAAAUAUAAUUUAUCCAAAAUAGUUAAAGCCAAGUAUAUGUUGAUAAAAGAGACUGUGCUUGAACCACGGGACUCGAGGGGUACCUCAAUUUUCGUCAGUCAACAUAAUUUCUUACCUAGCCUUCUAUUUUCGCUGACCAAUAAAGAGUCAUUUCCUUUUGAUUAGAAAUUCAAUAAGGUGACUUGCAACACCAUAACUCAAUUUCAAGUGGC
Molecule: long non-coding RNA, 661 nt
Filed under: Capsicum annuum
Lineage: Eukaryota; Viridiplantae; Streptophyta; Magnoliopsida; Solanales; Solanaceae
Description: long non-coding RNA (CANN_LNC011833)
Source: RNAcentral